RNAcentral lists this ribosomal RNA (458 nucleotides) under uncultured bacterium. Its description in RNAcentral is "bacterial SSU rRNA". It matches the Rfam family "Bacterial small subunit ribosomal RNA", at positions 339 to 794 of the family's 1533-position model. The record is from RNAcentral.
GUACGGGAGGCAGCAGUAAGGAAUAUUGGUCAAUGGACGCAAGUCUGAACCAGCCAUGCCGCGUGAAGGAUGAAGGUCCUCUGGAUUGUAAACUUCUUUUAUAUGGGAAGAAAUCCAUCUUUUCUUGGGUGGUUGACGGUACCAUAGGAAUAAGCACCGGCUAACUCCGUGCCAGCAGCCGCGGUAAUACGGAGGGUGCAAGCGUUAUCCGGAUUCACUGGGUUUAAAGGGUGCGUAGGAGGGCAGGUAAGUCAGUGGUGAAAUCUCCAAGCUUAACUUGGAAACUGCCGUUGAUACUAUCUGUCUUGAAUACCGUGGAGGUGAGCGGAAUAUGUCAUGUAGCGGUGAAAUGCUUAGAUAUGACAUAGAACACCAAUUGCGAAGGCAGCUCGCUACACGAAUAUUGACUCUGAGGCACGAAAGCGUGGGGAUCAAACAGGAUUAGAUACCCCGGUAGU